Molecule: ribosomal RNA, 252 nt
Filed under: uncultured bacterium
Lineage: Bacteria
Description: partial 16S ribosomal RNA
Rfam family: Bacterial small subunit ribosomal RNA
Source: RNAcentral
UACGGAGGGUGCGAGCGUGUCCGGAAUUAUUGGGCGUAAAGAGCGUGUAGGCGGCCAGAUAAGUCCGCUGUGAAAUCUCGAGGCUCAACUUCGAGCUGUCGGUGGAAACUAUCUGGCUAGAGUCCGGAAGAGGAGAAUGGAAUUCCUGGUGUAGCGGUGAAAUGCGCAGAUAUCAGGAAGAACACCCGUGGCGAAGGCGGUUCUCUGGGACGGUACUGACGCUGAGACGCGAAAGCGUGGGGAGCGAACAGG